RNAcentral lists this transfer RNA (74 nucleotides) under Balaenoptera musculus (blue whale). It matches the Rfam family "tRNA". From Rfam's summary of the family: Transfer RNA (tRNA) molecules are approximately 80 nucleotides in length. Their secondary structure includes four short double-helical elements and three loops (D, anti-codon, and T loops). The record is from Rfam by way of RNAcentral. RNAcentral also lists the same sequence under 1 other name. Lineage: Eukaryota; Metazoa; Chordata; Mammalia; Artiodactyla; Balaenopteridae.
UCCCUGGUGGUCCAGUGGCUAAGACUCCGUGCUCCCAGUGCAGGGGGGCCCGGGUUCAAUCCCCGGUCAGGGAG